AAAAAGAAGUUAGCUCUGUGCCUCCACAAUCACCAAAUGUUGCCGACAUCUCAGUAGCCUGGCUAUUUAAAUAGAGGUUCAUUUCACAUUGUAAAGUCAAGUUACAAUUUUAGUUUUCCAGUUUCAAAGUUCAUUCAGAAGUGUCCUUUUGAAGAACACAUGUAAAAUAUGAGUGUUAUCUAUCAAUAAAAUCUUUCAAUCAAGAUUUUCUGUAAGUUUGCAAUUUCAUUAUCAUCAUUAUUUUCAGUUAAAUAUUAUUGCAAUUUCAUUAUCAUCAUUAUUUUCAGUUAAAUAUUAUUGCAAUUUCAUUAUCAGUUUUAUUUAACUGCAGUUAUAUAUAUAUAAUAUGUUUUCAUCUCUCUGCAGUUUGCUAUUUUCUUCCUGUUCGUUUGUUAUUGUUUUGGUUCUACAAAGUUUCGGAUAUCAACAAUAGCCACUUCGUGAACUAAAUCAAAAGGCUAGAACUCAUUAACCAUUUAGAAAUCAAAACAGAAUUGAAGCUUUUAAAAUUACUUUCAUGGGUUAGGAUCAGUUUGAGUUGUACGUAACCCAAAUCCAUGAUAAGCUUCUCUAACCUUAAUUGAGAAGAAUGACAUUGACAAUAAAAAUUAACCUUACAUAUUUCUUACUUGAUUAUUGUGGCUUCAAAAUAGUGCUUCAACAAUCCAACAAGAAAAAUUGAAGAAAAAGAAUGAGAAGCGUAGCUCUGGACUAAGGGACAUGGAAGAUAAGGUGUGAAGAUGAAUGAUGGGAAGUAGAAGAAUGAGGAGAAAGAGAUGCGAACGUGAAAACAUAUGGGUUUUUUUUUUUUGGAAUUCUGAAAUUUUCGUUAAACUCUAGCGCCUCUCCAAACUGAUUGCCACAUAAUCAGAAAAUGAAAGCAUAUUUAUACCAGCCUUCCCUUAUAGCUUUCUUUUACAACCAUUUUUAACAAUAAGUUAUUUUCUUAUAGUUUACCAAACAAAGAUAGGCUUCCCAAAUUAAAAAAAAAUAAAAUAAAAUUAUUUUUUACUCCAAAUAAUCAACGCCAAAUAGACUCUUAAAGUGAUUAUAUAAAAAAAUAAUUCUUUAUAUUAAGUGAUUUUUGGCCCAUCAAAAAUUAAUGAACCAUAUAUCUAACAAAAGCUCCAAAUAAUUUUUGUUUUGUUUUAACAAAAGCUCCAAAAUAGUCCAAUGUUCCCCUAAAGACAAAAGCAAAAAACUCCGAGGAUCAAACAUCAAACGUAUAGUGGGAUUCCAUGUCUGAAGUGAACAUCUCAGCCGUCCAUGUAAUCCAUCAUCCAAUAAGAAUAGUGGUCAAUUUAAUUUAAUGACGGUAGAAGAGAGACCAGUUCAAAUAGGAGGAAACUAGAAACGAAGGACGACCAGAUGAGUGACUGAGUGGUGUCCAUCUUCUGUCUUCUGUGUUCAUUACUGAGAUUGAAAGAAAUAAAAGGAAAAAUCAGCAGUUUCGGUUUUCCAUGCAGAAGAUCUCCAUUCUCGAAAAACACCACUACGCCUCUACCUUAUUAUGGAAACGGU
This 1521-nucleotide long non-coding RNA is filed under the name Prunus persica (peach). Its description in RNAcentral is "long non-coding RNA (PPER_LNC001397)". The record is from RNAcentral. Lineage: Eukaryota; Viridiplantae; Streptophyta; Magnoliopsida; Rosales; Rosaceae.